RNAcentral lists this ribosomal RNA (254 nucleotides) under uncultured bacterium. Its description in RNAcentral is "partial 16S ribosomal RNA". It matches the Rfam family "Bacterial small subunit ribosomal RNA", at positions 524 to 776 of the family's 1533-position model. The record is from RNAcentral.
GACGUAGGGAGCGAGCGUUGUCCGGAUUUAUUGGGCGUAAAGGGCCAGUAGGCGGCUUGGCAAGUCAGGUGUGAAACCUCCAGGCUCAACCUGGAGACGCCACUUGAUACUGCUAUGGCUUGAGUCCGGUAGGGGAGCAUGGAAUACCCGGUGUAGCGGUGAAAUGCAUUGAGAUCGGAAAGAACACCAACGGCGAAAGCACUCUGCUGGGCCGACACUGACACUGAGAGACGAAAGCUAGGGGAGCAAAUGGG